This 468-nucleotide ribosomal RNA is filed under the name uncultured bacterium. RNAcentral describes it as "partial 16S ribosomal RNA". It matches the Rfam family "Bacterial small subunit ribosomal RNA", at positions 28 to 507 of the family's 1533-position model. The record is from RNAcentral.
GACGAACGCUGGCGGCGUGCUUAAUACAUGCAAGUCGAACGGAAAGGCCCUGCUUUUGUUGGUUUCUCGAGUGGCGAACGGGUGAGUAACACGUGAGUAACCUGCCCUUGACUUUGUGGUAACUUCAGGAAACUGGGGCUAAUACCGGAUAGGAUCUCCUGCUGCAUGGUGGUGGUUGGAAAGUUUCGGCGGUUGGGGAUGGACUCGCGGCUUAUCAGCUUGUUGGUGUGGUAGUGGCUUACCAAGGCUUUGACGGGUAGCCGGCCUGAGAGGGUUGCCGGCGUCCAUGGGACUACGAGACGGACCAGACUCCAACCGGAGGCAGCAGUGGGGAAUAUUGCACAAUGGGCGGAAGCCUGAUGCAGCAGCGCUGCGUGCGGGAUGAAGGGCUUUGGGUUGAAAACAGCUUUCGCAUGUGACGAAGCGUGAGUGACGGUAAUGGGUAAGGAAGCACCGGCUAACUACGUG